Molecule: non-coding RNA, 21 nt
Filed under: Rattus norvegicus (Norway rat)
Lineage: Eukaryota; Metazoa; Chordata; Mammalia; Rodentia; Muridae
Source: RNAcentral
CUGUAGUGUCUCUGUGUCUGC